GACGAACGCUGGCGGCGUGCUUAACACAUGCAAGUCGAACGAAGUGGCGAACGGGUGAGUAACGCGUAAUCAACCUGCCCUUCAGAGGGGGACAACAGUUGGAAACGACUGCUAAUACCGCAUACUGACGGUGGGGAUUGCGUCGGAUUAGCUAGUUGGAGGGGUAACGGCCCACCAAGGCGAUGAUCAGUAGCCGGUCUGAGAGGAUGGACGGCCACAAUGGGAAUGAGACACGGCCCAGAAUCCUACGGGAGGCAGCAGUGGGGAAUCUUCCGCAAUGGACGAAAGGCUGACGGAGCAACGCCGCGUGAGUGAUGGCGGCCUUCGGGUUGUAAAGCUCUGUUAAUCGGGACGCGGUACCGGAAUAGAAAGCCACGGCUAACUACGUGCCAGCCGCCGCGGUAAUAC
This 408-nucleotide ribosomal RNA is filed under the name uncultured bacterium. RNAcentral describes it as "partial 16S ribosomal RNA". It matches the Rfam family "Bacterial small subunit ribosomal RNA", at positions 28 to 526 of the family's 1533-position model. The record is from RNAcentral.